UACGUAGGUGGCGAGCGUUAUCCGGAAUUAUUGGGCGUAAAGAGCUCGUAGGCGGUUUGUCACGUCGUCUGUGAAAUCCUCCAGCUUAACUGGGGGCGUGCAGGCGAUACGGGCAGACUUGAGUACUACAGGGGAGACUGGAAUUCCUGGUGUAGCGGUGAAAUGCGCAGAUAUCAGGAGGAACACCGGUGGCGAAGGCGGGUCUCUGGGUAGUAACUGACGCUGAGGAGCGAAAGCAUGGGUAGCGAACAGGAUUAGAUACCCCGGUAGU
Molecule: ribosomal RNA, 271 nt
Filed under: uncultured prokaryote
Description: partial 16S ribosomal RNA
Rfam family: Bacterial small subunit ribosomal RNA
Source: RNAcentral